GGCAGACUCCAGAUUUUGGCUAAUACAAAUAAAAUUCCUGUGAACAUUCGUGUACAGGUUUUUGUGUGAACAAAUGUUCUCAUUUGUCUGGAAUAAAUACCCAGGAAUGCAAACGAUGGUACAUACAGUAAUUGCAUACUUAGUUUUAUAAGAAACUGCCUCUUUUCCAGAAUGGCUGUGCCAUUUCACAUCUAUACCAGCAAUAUAUGAACAAUCUAGUUUCUCUGCAUCCUUGUCAGCAUGUGGUAUCAUCACUAUUUAUUAUUUUAGCCAUUCUGGCACUGGACAUAUAACGCUGAACAAGAUAAUUAUGGGACUUGAACUCUAGAAUUGCAAAUGCUGAUCAACACUAUGAAGGGACUGCAGCAUUGAGAUGACAAGGGGGAGAGACUCAGAUUUAAUUGGCAUGACAUGCAACCUAGAUUGGAUUUUCUGAAAGCUGCAAGAUGAUUCUAAUGGAGCAAAGUUUGACAACCACAGUCACCAAACAAAUGCUUCCUUCACAAAGAAACACUGGUGGCAUGGAGGGAGUGCAAGACCCUGAAGAGAAUAUGCUGAGGUCCUGAAGUGUGCAGCUGGGGCUUAAUGAGCUAGGUCAAGAAGAAGAUAACCAGCACCUCAGAAGCUCUCUUCAUACACCCCUCAACCACUACUCACUGGAUUUGUUUGGCCUAUUUUCAAACAUUGUAUCUAUAAAAUCAUAUAGUAUGCAUUACUUCGUUUUGCUUUUCCAUUCCACAUUAUGUUUGUGAGAUAUAUCAAUGUGACCGUAGGUGGUAGUAGUUUGACCUAUUUCAUUGUUAUAUAGUAUUUCAUCUUAUGCCUAUACCAUGAUUUAUCUAUUCUUCUCUUGAUUAACAUGUAACUUGUUUUCAGUUUGGGAACAGUAUAAAGUUAUGUUGCUAUAAAACAUUUUUACAUGGCUUCUGGCACUACUAAGUACUAUUCAUUGUUGACUCUAUAACAUGGAGUAUUCAUUGCUGGGCCACAGGGUGUGUGUAUGUUUAACUUUAGUUACUACUGUCAAUUCCUUUUCAAAAGUGGUUGUACAGGUACCAAAUUUGUUCUCACACCAGCCAUUUAUGCAGAAUCCAGUGACUCCAUAUCUUUGCCAACACUUGGUAUCUCAUUAUGGUUUUAAUUUUCCUGUUCCUAAUCACUAAUGAAAUUAAGUUUUUUUUUUUUAAGUACCAACACUACUUUAACAGAAUUGACUUUCUGAUAUCAUUGAUUUAUCUUUAUCUAGAACUGCUCUUCAUGGUAGGCAACUCACUAGUUGAUGCCCUUAAAACUUUUCCUUAGAGAGUACAGAUUUUUAAUCUAAAAAUUAGCAAGUGUGUUAUAUGGACAUUUUCUUUGUGUAACAACAACACAGGUAAAAAUAAACAACUUUCUAAAUAUUAAUACCACUUUUAAAAGCUAUUCUGAAAUUCUUUAUCCUUACAAGUAUUUGGUGAAAAGGUGAGGUAAUUUUAUUGGCAUAAAUGUAUAUCUCAUAAUUAUCAACAAACAAAAUGAAUUCCAACUGUAAUACUCAGACACGUUUUGCAUGAAAAGUAACCUGGAAUGGCAAAUGCAAUAGUAUCUCCUUAUUUUUUAGGCCAUUAAAAAUCAUUGCUGGCUGGGCGCAGUGGCUCAUGCCUGUAAUCCAGCACUUUGGGAGGCCGAGGCAGGUGGAUCACCUGAGGUCGGGAGUUCAAGACCAGCCUGGCCAACAUGGUGAAACCCCGUCUCUACUAAAAAUACAAAAAUUAGCCAGGCUUGGUGGUGCAUGCCUGUAGUCCCAGGUACUCGGGAGGCUGAGGCAGGAGAAUCACUUGAACCCAGGAGGCAGAGGUUGCAGUGAGCUGAGAUGGAGCCAUUACACUCCAGCCUGGGUGACAGAGCGAAACUCUGUCUCAAAAAAAAAAAAGAAAAAAUAAUUGCCACUUCCACCCACAUCAUCAAUGAAGAAGGGCAGCAACAAAUUCGGCUACAUAAAGAUGACAAAUAUACAAAGGACAGCCUGUGAGAAGGGACAGGUUUAGAUUUUUGGCUUCAUGCUCAGGUUUCAUAUUUUCCAAUUUGAAUUUCUACUGAUUUUGAUAUCCUUUUUAUGUUCUGAUUAGGCAGAUUAAAUAUGUCUAUAAAGAAUUUUCCAGAUACAUGAUAUUACAUAAGAUCAUAAUAAAAUUAUUUGAAGACACCGG
This 2189-nucleotide long non-coding RNA is filed under the name Homo sapiens (human). RNAcentral's name for it is "HSALNT0040429". The record is from RNAcentral. Lineage: Eukaryota; Metazoa; Chordata; Mammalia; Primates; Hominidae.